UCAGAUUGGACUCAUAUAUAAUAGGCUGGAUCAAAAUUUAACUGAUUGAGAUAACAAAAAUUUUAAAAUAAUAUAUUGAAAAAAAAACAAAAAAAUCGCUUCAUGCUUUUUUAUCUUCAAUUUCCCGCCCUAGGAGUAGCACAAGAAAGAAAUUAUUGAAUUAUUAACCUAAUAAUAAAAUAUUAGUACACCUUCCUCGUUGGAGCUUCGUACUCCGAAAAAACCGCCCACUUUAGACACUCCUCCCCCGUAAAGGUGCAUGCGAUCCAUUUCCUAACAUAUAUAAACAUGAGUUGUUUCGUGCAUCGCGAAAAAAAAAAGGGCAGGAAUCCUGCAAUAUUUAGGGAGGAAAUUAGCUAAGUGGAGUUUUGAGUAUAACAAUUACGUCAGACACCAAAAGCAAAUACUUCCAUUAAUUAGUAUAAUUUUUUAUUUUUUUUAAAAAAAACAUCAUUAAUCCCCUUUUGUUAAAAAAAAGUAUAUUUUCUGUCUUAUUUUACAUGAUCACUAGACAAAAAUAAAAUAAUAUUUCAUUAUCGUUCCAUCAUAAUUUUUCGUUAGUGAGUUGUUUUUCUUAUUUUUAGUGUAUGAUAUUUAUAUUGUCAGCCAAUUGAAAUUGAAAUACGCGUCACAAAGUCUCACAUUGAAGGGUCAAAGUGAUUUUUAAAAAAGAUAAUGUCAUAUUCAAAUCUCGAAUAAAAAAAUUUUAAUUAAAAAUAUACAGAUAAAUACUUACCGCAUCAUCACACGAACGUAGUUGAUUGUUGCUUUCACUAAUUAGCUGUAUGCUUAAUCAUGUCUUAAUCUCUCACUGUUUAAGGGUUCAAUCCAUUUCCCAUUUUUGUACAUGAAGACAAAAUGCUUUAAUUUUC
RNAcentral lists this long non-coding RNA (872 nucleotides) under Solanum lycopersicum (tomato). RNAcentral's name for it is "long non-coding RNA (SLYC_LNC000732)". The record is from RNAcentral. Lineage: Eukaryota; Viridiplantae; Streptophyta; Magnoliopsida; Solanales; Solanaceae.